CCUUCGGGUGUGACUGCGUACCUUUUGUAUAAUGGGUCAGCGACUUAUAUUCUGUAGCAAGGUUAACCGUAUAGGGGAGCCGGAGGGAAACCGAGUCUUAACCGGGCGUUAAGUUGCAGGGUAUAGACCCGAAACCCGGUGAUCUAGCCAUGGGCAGGUUGAAGGUUGGGUAACACUAACUGGAGGACCGAACCGACUAAUGUUGAAAAAUUAGCGGAUGACCUGUGGCUGGGGGUGAAAGGCCAAUCAAACCGGGAGAUAGCUGGUUCUCCCCGAAAGCUAUUUAGGUAGCGCCUCGUGAAUUCAUCUCCGGGGGUAGAGCACUGUUUCGGCUAGGGGGCCAUCCCGGCUUACCAACCCGAUGCAAACUGCGAAUACCGGAGAAUGUUAUCACGGGAGACACACGGCGGGUGCUAACGUCCGUCGUGAAGAGGGAAACAACCCAGACCGCCAGCUAAGGUCCCAAAGUCAUGGUUAAGUGGGAAACGAUGUGGGAAGGCCCAGACAGCCAGGAUGUUGGCUUAGAAGCAGCCAUCAUUUAAAGAAAGCGUAAUAGCUCACUGGUCGAGUCGGCCUGCGCGGAAGAUGUAACGGGGCUAAACCAUGCACCGAAGCUGCGGCAGCGAACGUAUCACUUAAAGCGAUUCAGCG
This 651-nucleotide ribosomal RNA is filed under the name Salmonella enterica subsp. enterica serovar Alachua. RNAcentral describes it as "partial 23S ribosomal RNA". It matches the Rfam family "Bacterial large subunit ribosomal RNA", at positions 582 to 1219 of the family's 2925-position model. Lineage: Bacteria; Pseudomonadati; Pseudomonadota; Gammaproteobacteria; Enterobacterales; Enterobacteriaceae. The record is from RNAcentral.